UCUUAGAAUAGGGGUGGCGAGAGAGCAGAGCGUACCACCCUGCCAUAGUCGCGAGUCUGUUUAUAAUCGCGAGUCUGUUUAUAGUUGCGACUAUUGUCAUAUUGAUAAAGGCUUUCAACUUUCAGGAAAAAACUUCGAAUUGGGAGGGUGAUCCUCCCGGUGAUCUGACCGUGCCCCAAACCGACACAGGUGAACAAGUUGAGUAUACUA
RNAcentral lists this long non-coding RNA (210 nucleotides) under Amborella trichopoda. RNAcentral's name for it is "long non-coding RNA (ATRI_LNC000122)". Lineage: Eukaryota; Viridiplantae; Streptophyta; Magnoliopsida; Amborellales; Amborellaceae. The record is from RNAcentral.